UAGAGUAGAACAUGAAUAAUGUAUGUCACUUACAAUGAUAAUAUAGGGCCUCUUCCCUUACUCUAA
This 66-nucleotide transfer RNA is filed under the name Platynereis bicanaliculata. RNAcentral describes it as "tRNA-Val". The record is from RNAcentral. Lineage: Eukaryota; Metazoa; Annelida; Polychaeta; Phyllodocida; Nereididae.